This 72-nucleotide transfer RNA is filed under the name Bos taurus (domestic cattle). It matches the Rfam family "tRNA". From Rfam's summary of the family: Transfer RNA (tRNA) molecules are approximately 80 nucleotides in length. RNAcentral also lists the same sequence under 5 other names. Lineage: Eukaryota; Metazoa; Chordata; Mammalia; Artiodactyla; Bovidae. The record is from Rfam by way of RNAcentral.
UCCCUGGUGGUCCAGUGGUUAGGACUUGGUUCUUUCACUUCUCUGGCCUGGGUUCAAUCCCUAGUCCAGGAA